UCCAUGUGACUGACUCUGUGUGUUUGCAUAUGUGUCCUGCCUCUCUGCUCCCAGCUGUUAAGAGGUCAGUGUUGAUCAGUGGCUGUCCAGGCCUUUCAGAGCCACUGACACACCAGCAGCACAAUGAUGAUGUCACUGACUCUACUGCUGACCACCCUGGGGCUCCUGGUUCACGGUUCAUCAGGGGAAAUCAUCCUGACUCAGACUCCAGGUUCUCAGGCUGUUGUUCCAGGACAGACUGUCUCCAUCAAAUGUAAAGCCAGUUCAGGAGUUUCCUAUGAUUUACAGUGGUACCUUCAAAAACCUGGAGAAGCACCUAAACUCCUAAUUUAUGAUGCUACUUCGCGUUGGUCUGGAGUUUCUGGUCGUUUCAGUGGAAGUCAGUCUGGAACUGACUUCACUCUGACCAUCAGCAGAGUUCAGGCUGAAGAUGCAGGAGUUUAUCACUGUCAGCAGGAUUACAACAGACCGUUCACACAGUGAUACA
This is a non-coding RNA of Fundulus heteroclitus (mummichog), 487 nucleotides long. The record is from the annotation of a RefSeq genome assembly. Lineage: Eukaryota; Metazoa; Chordata; Actinopteri; Cyprinodontiformes; Fundulidae.